Long non-coding RNA from Drosophila obscura, 546 nucleotides. RefSeq lists it as uncharacterized. The transcript is spliced from 2 exons. The record is from RefSeq and is a predicted model, not a curated record. NCBI's taxonomy places the organism in Eukaryota, Metazoa, Arthropoda, Insecta, Diptera, Drosophilidae.
GUUCACAGCUGCUCCAAGCAGUAGGGGGUCACUGAAGAUUAAGGGUCGCAGAAUGGUAGCGCCCACAACUGAUCAGCCCAGCCGAGACCCAAACACUGUCCACACACAGACAACUGCGCUGUACGGAUAUUUUUAGUGCGGACUGUAAGUAGUUUUUCGUCUGUGCCUUGAAUGUGUCUGCAUUUCGCCAGUGUCUGUGGGCCAUAAACUCCUCCGGCUAAUUAUGGCCACUAAUGAGCUUGAAAUGGCACUUACCAGAAACAACAGCAGAAGCAGCAGCAGCAGCAACGACAAAAUACACAUGUACAGGGUACUCACAUAUGGCAGGGCAGACAAGACGCGACUUCCAUUAUUUAUGAGCGGCAGCAAGUGCGAAAAUUUAAACACUAAUUCAAAUUAAAGUGGCCAAAGCCAAAUGGAGAUGGAAAUGUAACAAAUGCAACAAUUGCAGUUCUGCUAGAUUAGCGACAUGUUUAUGAAAUCCUUACCGCGAAGAAGGGGAAUACACUGUACGAUGCCCCAUCAUGAAUGGUUUUCCUGUAAGAG